This 497-nucleotide ribosomal RNA is filed under the name uncultured bacterium. Its description in RNAcentral is "partial 16S ribosomal RNA". It matches the Rfam family "Bacterial small subunit ribosomal RNA", at positions 28 to 507 of the family's 1533-position model. The record is from RNAcentral.
GAUGAACGCUGGCGGCGUGCCUAAUACAUGCAAGUCGAGCGAACAGACGAGGAGCUUGCUCCUCUGACGUUAGCGGCGGACGGGUGAGUAACACGUGGAUAACCUACCUAUAGGACUGGGAUAACUUCGGGAAACCGGAGCUAAUACCGGAUAAUAUAUUGAACCGCAUGGUUCAAUAGUGAAAGACGGUUUUGCUGUCACUUCUAGAUGGAUCCGCGCCGCAUUAGCUAGUUGGUAAGGUAACGGCUUAGCAAGGCAACGAUGCGUAGCCGACCUGAGAGGGUGAUCGGCCACACUGGAACUGAGACACGGUCCAGACUCCUACGGGAGGCAGCAGUAGGGAAUCUUCCGCAAUGGGCGAAAGCUUGACGGAGCAACGCCGCGUGAGUGAUGAAGGUCUUCGGAUCGUAAAACUCUGUUAUUAGGGAAGAACAAAUGAGUAAGUAACUAUGCACGUCUUGACGGUACCUAAUCAGAAAGCCACGGCUAACUACGUG